Molecule: long non-coding RNA, 750 nt
Organism: Cyprinus carpio carpio
Lineage: Eukaryota; Metazoa; Chordata; Actinopteri; Cypriniformes; Cyprinidae
Source: Ensembl
GACAAGGAGACCCACCCUGUGAAUCAGCUGUAUCUGAGAUCUGGAUGAGCUGAGACACAAAACCUACUGAAGUAUCGAGAAUAAACAGCUUUCCAUCUUCAAAACACAUAAAAUGGGAAAUGAUAACUCUGGUGAACAUAGAGAACGUAGAAGGGCUGAAGAAGCUGGGGAGGGAAAAAGGAGAAUGGAAUUACAGAGAGCGAGACAGGAGCAAACAGCAGCGGAGGAAUGAUGCAGAAUCCGAACCGAAAAACAAGCACUCCAGGAACAAUACAAUAGAGUUCAAAAUGAAAGAAAUAUACAGAGAUUGAGAGAAGAAGAGAAGAAGAAAAUCGACAGCGAGAACAGAUUUAAAGAGGAAGAAGAAAGGAAAAGAAUUAACAUAGAGAAGCAAAAUGCACAGAAAGAAAACACUAACAAGCCAGUUAGUUAAACCAUUUCUAUGGUUUAUUAACAGGAUAUAUUUUUAAUUUCUAUUCAUCAUCCAGAAAGAUAGAUGCACAUCACCUAAAACAUUGUGAAGAUUUUAUUUUUCUUCUUCCGUAUGUCUACUGUAAAGAACUUUGUAAACUUUUGUUUUAAAAAAUAAAGUUCUACAUCUUAUUUUCACCACCAAAGAAGAGUAUGAAUUUGUUUUUGUUUUUUUUGUUUUUUUACAGGCAUGAGAAAUUAUCAACAUAUUUGUUUUGCCAUUGACCUAGUAAUUGAUCCUGAAAUACACUUUAAAAUCAUAAAAUACAGUUAUGUUUU